AGAAAAUCAUGUAAAUGUAGGGGUAUAUGCUUACUUAAGAUGGUAGUGAUACAGCACUACCAGUAUUCCCAGAAACAGAGGUAAUGUAAAUGGUGUGUAUGUAUAUCUGUGAAAUGAAGUGCAAGAGCUAAAGCACAUUAAAAGCCAAAUACAAAUAAUUUGUCACAGUUGACAGAGAGUGCUUUAUUUCAUACAGAUAAUGAUGAUGAUGAUGAUGAUGAUGAGUUCGAAGAAGCUGGCUUUGAACCUUCCAGUUCUAAAAAUGCCGAAAAGGACUCAUCUACAGGCACAUCUUGUUUCAAGAACAGACUAGAAAGUGCAAGUUUAAGGGAUACGGCUGGUUUUAUAAUAAAUGAUCAGCUCUUUUGCGGGUUUUGUGGAGAUUUGUUUGUGAUUCCUUAUCAGCUUACUUAAAAAAUUACAUUUUGGUGAAUACCUCUAUCUGUAUUUAGUGUGUUUCUAGUGUGUGUGUGCCUCGUACCUCACAAUGUGUGAACAGUUAAUGUUAUAUUACACCUUUGGAUUGCAUUACUGAACUUUUUGAUUACAAUGAUUAAAUGCUGUGCGUUUUUAUCCUUAUUAUGUCGUACAACCUGUUGGUGGUCUCUGAAAAGGUAGUUACUUCAGUUAUGACUUAUGAACAAUAAUUUUGUGAACUGCUUAAAAAAACAUGUUUAUCUGUUUGGAGGUGCAAAAUCCAAUUGAUUCAAUAUACAAUACAUUGACAUGAGAUGUUUCUUUUCUGGAAGAUGUUGACGGGCAUUAUUCUAGCAAUGAGCCAUCAUUCCAGUAUGCUGAAAACAUCCCCUCAAGCUCUCCUGGUCCUAAAAAUGAGCACCAAAGGCCAAAGUGUCAGAGAUAAUGAUUGAACUGAUUCUAAAAAUGAGCCAUCCAGUAUUGGUGAAAUCGUCUCCUUCAAGCAUUCCUGGUUUCAAAAUCAGCAUCAAGGCCAAAGAGUCAGAGAUAAUGAUGAUGAUGAUGAUGACGAAGAAGCUGGCUUUGAACCUUCGAGUUCUG
Molecule: long non-coding RNA, 1017 nt
Organism: Dreissena polymorpha
Lineage: Eukaryota; Metazoa; Mollusca; Bivalvia; Myida; Dreissenidae
Exons: 3
Source: RefSeq, a predicted model, not a curated record